AAAAAUAUACAAAAACUUGAGACAGCAAAAUUUCUACUGUUUCAUUGAUAUCUUUACUAAUUUAUGAAAUUUUCCCGUUCUUAAAUACCUUAUAGUUUAUUUGAGAUUGAGAUGAAUUGAUUUGAGCUCUAAAAGUUGCUACGAAGUUGGAUUUUGGGUUGUUGAAGGGUAUAUAUUGUUUCAUCAAAUUCUCUUUUGGAAUUUUGAAGUUCUCGAUUUCUGGAACAAAUUUUGGCUCAUCCAAGGCUUGAUGAGUUGAUUUUUAGUUUUUUAAAGGCUUGGUCUGUUGUGCGCUGCUUAGUUCACUCUUCUAUUGGUAUUUCUGAGUCGAUUUCAUAUUUGAUUCUUGAAUCGGGUCACUUUGCUGUUGCUGCACGACUGAGUCCUCAUCCUUCUGUUUCAUUUUACUGCCAGGCACACAUCUCUGACAUUCAAAAAAUGUGAAUCUGCAAAGUUGGAAGUUGAAUAUGAAUGAAUACGUUGGUGUUUUACAAUUAGUUUUUAGUCUGCUUCAUCUUCUUUCUGAUUCAUGCUGCUCUUCGAAAGCAAUUUGUGUUUACCUUAGGAUUUGGCCAUGUUUUAGUUGAAUAGUAAUUGUAUUUACCGGUUUAUUUUAUUUUCUUUUCUUUAUCUUGUUCUUGCUUUCUUUUCUUUAAGGAUUGAAUCUAGAUGUUGUUAAUAUGACUGAUUCAAAGCUAUUUUGAAUCGUUAGUCAUGUGUUAGGUAAGGAUUUAUCAGUUGGUUGUAGUAUAUCUUUGGAUCUAGUGUGCAGAAUGGGUAAUUGUUUGUUUGAGAGGGGAUGUGAGUCAUUGGUUUCAGGGGUUG
This 825-nucleotide long non-coding RNA is filed under the name Nicotiana benthamiana. Its description in RNAcentral is "long non-coding RNA (NBEN_LNC038480)". Lineage: Eukaryota; Viridiplantae; Streptophyta; Magnoliopsida; Solanales; Solanaceae. The record is from RNAcentral.